UAAAAGAUCUAAUUUUUAGUAUCACCUGCUCAAUGAAAAUUAAAUAGCCGCAGUCUCCUGUGCUAAGGUAGCAUAAUCAUUUGCCUAAUAAUUAUAGGAUAGAAUGAAAGGUGGAACAUGUUAUCUCCUUUAUUAAAAAGGGUAAUUGAAUUUAAUAUUUAAGUAAAAAACCUUAAAUUAAUAGGGGGACGACAAGACCCUGACGAACUUUACUCUAAGUUUAGCUGGGGCGGCAAAUAAAUUAAACCUUUUCUUUUCUUAUUUAUAAUUAACCUUUAAGAUUGAUAAUUAAGUUACCGCAGGGAUAACAGCAUAAUCCUUUCCUGAAGAUCUUAUACAAGAAAGGGUUUGUGACCUCGAUGUUGAAUUAAAAUUCUAUUAGAGGCAGCACUCUAAUAAGAAAGUCUGUUCGACUUUUAAAUAUUU
This 426-nucleotide ribosomal RNA is filed under the name Aname sp. MYG350. RNAcentral's name for it is "partial 16S ribosomal RNA". It matches the Rfam family "Archaeal large subunit ribosomal RNA", at positions 1926 to 2666 of the family's 2987-position model. The record is from RNAcentral. Lineage: Eukaryota; Metazoa; Arthropoda; Arachnida; Araneae; Anamidae. RNAcentral also lists the same sequence under 1 other name.